AUUGAACGCUGGCGGCAGGCCUAACACAUGCCAGUCGAGCGGAUGAAGGGAGCUUGCUCCUGGAUUCAGCGGCGGACGGGUGAGUAAUGCCUAGGAAUCUGCCUGGUAGUGGGGGAUAACGUCCGGAAACGGGCGCUAAUACCGCAUACGUCCUGAGGGAGAAAGUGGGGGAUCUUCGGACCUCACGCUAUCAGAUGAGCCUAGGUCGGAUUAGCUAGUUGGUGGGGUAAAGGCCUACCAAGGCGACGAUCCGUAACUGGUCUGAGAGGAUGAUCAGUCACACUGGAACUGAGACACGGUCCAGACUCCUACGGGAGGCAGCAGUGGGGAAUAUUGGACAAUGGGCGAAAGCCUGAUCCAGCCACGCCGCGUGUGUGAAGAAGGUCUUCGGAUUGUAAAGCACUUUAAGUUGGGAGGAAGGGCAGUAAGUUAAUACCUUGCUGUUUUGACGUUACCAGCAGAAUAAGCACCGGCUAACUUCGUG
RNAcentral lists this ribosomal RNA (484 nucleotides) under uncultured bacterium. RNAcentral's name for it is "partial 16S ribosomal RNA". It matches the Rfam family "Bacterial small subunit ribosomal RNA", at positions 30 to 507 of the family's 1533-position model. The record is from RNAcentral.